Canis lupus familiaris (dog) is the source of this 2281-nucleotide RNA transcript. It is a transcript of the gene named arginine and glutamate rich 1, with no coding region annotated. NCBI's taxonomy places the organism in Eukaryota, Metazoa, Chordata, Mammalia, Carnivora, Canidae. The record is from RefSeq and is a predicted model, not a curated record. The transcript has 4 exons.
CGCGCGGGGCAUUGUGGGGAGGGCGGCCGGUGCAGCCGCGGCUGCCAUCUUAGCAACUCCUGGCGUCGCGGCCUUGUCGUUGGGGGCGGCCUUCGUGGCGGCCGUCGACCUCGGAGAGCGGCUUGAACUCAGCUGGCUGGCAGCUUUCCUUCCCCCGGCCGACACAGCACGGCCAGCCGGCGUCCGGAGGAGGCAGUGAGGGCGGUGGGACGCGUGCGGGGCCCGAGUCCAGCGGUUAGUCCGAGCGUCGCCCGGAAGGAUGGGCCGGUCUCGGAGCCGGAGCUCGUCCCGCUCCAAACACACCAAGAGCAGCAAACACAACAAGAAGCGGAGCCGGUCGCGGUCGCGGUCCCGGGACAAGGAGCGCGUGCGGAAGCGCUCCAAGUCCCGGGAGAGUAAACGGAACCGGCGGCGGGAGUCGCGGUCCCGCUCGCGGUCCACCAACACGGCCGUGUCCCGGCGCGAGCGGGACCGGGAGCGCGCCUCGUCCCCGCCCGACCGCAUCGACAUCUUCGGGCGCACGGUGAGCAAGCGCAGCAGCCUGGACGAGAAGCAGAAGCGAGAGGAGGAGGAGAAGAAAGCGGAGUUCGAGCGGCAGCGAAAAAUUCGGCAGCAGGAAAUAGAAGAAAAACUCAUCGAGGAAGAAACAGCACGAAGAGUGGAAGAGUUAGUGGCAAAAAGGGUAGAGGAAGAACUGGAGAAAAGGAAGGAUGAAAUCGAGCGAGAAGUUCUCCGAAGGGUGGAGGAAGCCAAGCGCAUCAUGGAAAAGCAGUUGCUCGAAGAACUCGAGCGACAGAGACAAGCUGAGCUUGCAGCACAAAAAGCCAGAGAGAGGAAGCUGGCGCGUAUGGCAGCCGAGGAGCACACUCUGCAGGACACUGGACAAGACAGUAAAUAUUCAACUUUUAAUGCUGAUUAAAGGAGUAUAGGUAAAGAAUACGUAGGUAUACAUAAUUGGUGAGACAAAUAUUCACUUUAUUUAUAUUUUAUAUAUUAUUUUUUAAUUUGGUAAAUACUAUCCAGUUUUGUAGUUGUCCUUGUUGAUUUGUGUGAUAUUAAAGUAUUAGUAAUAAUUGCCAGGAAACUAUCAUUAGGGAGGGUUUAGUCGGUUGCUGUUUGGACUGGGAGGGAUGAUUUAAAUUUCGUGCUAGAAACAAAUUUUAGUGGCUGCACAGUUUAUCAUUUGUCAGACAGAAGGUGGCUAUAAAGCUACCCUCUAAGUCAGAUCAAAAAAGUUCAGAGGAAGAUUAGUAAAUAUUUAUCAGUAAAAAUAAACAUUUUAUUUUUCUAACAUCUAAACAUGUCCUCCCCUUUAGGAGGAAGAACGUGCAAAACGUGAGGAGCUAGAGCGAAUACUGGAAGAGAAUAACCGAAAAAUUGCAGAAGCACAAGCCAAACUGGCUGAAGAGCAGUUGAGAAUUGUUGAAGAACAAAGAAAGAUUCAUGAGGAAAGGAUGAAACUAGAACAAGAGCGGCAACGUCAACAAAAAGAAGAACAAAAAAUUAUCCUGGGCAAGGGCAAGUCCAGGCCCAAACUGUCCUUCUCUUUAAAGACCCAGGAUUAAACUGCAAACUGAACUUUUUACAAAGAAAAAUGGAAAAACUUUGUAUGGUAGCUUCAUGUUGAAGUGGUUUUUUGUUUUUUUGUUUUUUUUUUGUUUUUGUUUGUUUUUUUUUUUGUUUUUUUUUUUUGUUUUUUUGUUUUUUUUUUUAAUUUGGAAAAUCUGGAAAACUUAGCUUGUUCUAAUAGGGGCUAUGCUCUGCAUUCCUCCCCCCCCCCCCCUUUAACUUCCAUUAAGUCAGAUCCUUAUCAGAUCAUUAUUGUCUUCUAGAAAGUGAUCUAUUUUUCAUCUGUUUGGAUUCUUCAUUAGUGAUCCGCAGAAGAGCAGAUCACUUUGUAAACUGUGGAUGGUCUGAUAAGUUUCUACUGGCCCAUUGACUUCAGAGUUAUACUCUGCCUAUUACAUCAUAAUGCUGGUUUUGCUGACUUUUUGUUUUUUUAUAUAUUUAUAAAAAAAGAAAAAGUUGGAAAUUGCAUUGGAAGCUCCCAGGGUGUUACUGGACCUGUGUGGUGUAUUGUUAACCAGUGUCCUUGUGAUACCGUUGCUCUUGAUGUUCCUGAUACAGGUAAGGAAACAGUCGGUCAGCUCUGGUACAAGAUAUAUAUACAGUUCAGUAUUGUCUCUGUUCAGUUUGUUUUUAUUUCAUUGACAAAGUCAAACCAGCAUUCCCCAUUGUGUAAAUAAAUGAUUUUGCUGAAUAAAGUAAAGUCUUAAAUUCA